CCUGAUCCCAUCCCGAACUCAGUAGUGAAACGAUGCAUCGCCGAUGGUAGUGUGGAGUUUCUCCAUGUGAGAGUAGGUCAUCGUCAAGC
RNAcentral lists this ribosomal RNA (89 nucleotides) under Pseudomonas sp. URMO17WK12:I2. The record is from RNAcentral. Lineage: Bacteria; Pseudomonadati; Pseudomonadota; Gammaproteobacteria; Pseudomonadales; Pseudomonadaceae.